Long non-coding RNA from Cuculus canorus (common cuckoo), 554 nucleotides. RefSeq lists it as uncharacterized. The record is from RefSeq and is a predicted model, not a curated record. The transcript has 3 exons. NCBI's taxonomy places the organism in Eukaryota, Metazoa, Chordata, Aves, Cuculiformes, Cuculidae.
GACUAGAGGACCCAGAGGGCAUCCGGAGGGAAGCAGGCUGGUGCGCAGCUUGACCCACAUUUGUCCCUCCUACUGUGAUAUAUUCCACAUCUCUGCCACUAUCUGUGAGUUAUCUUUUCAAAUGUCCACCUACUCAGACCUCAGCAAGCAACAAGCAGAAAGAGCUCACCAGCUGGUACGAAUUUGUGUGAGCUACAUUUUACAUCAGUUUGUGGUCCAAAAUGGGCAUUUUUAACUUUGGAAACCUUUAGCUAAAAAAACUGUGUUUCGACACCUGCUGGAACAAUAGCAAGCUCAGAUACAACGUACAGCAGAUGCAGGCAGAGCAUUCACUGGCUUGGCAGGAGCCUCCAUACUUCUCCAGGCAUUCUGGGCUGCUUUUCUCCUACUUCAAUGUUGGAUAUUAAAAGUAAGGUCAUUCUCUUUCACAGCUUCAGACAAACAGGUUUACAGCAAUUUAUAACAGCUUUAGUACCUGUGAGAUGAAAAGAUUAUAGGUAGUAACGUAUACAAGUAAUUCCAUGUAUUCCUAUGUGCUCUGUAAGUGACAUAGA